RNAcentral lists this ribosomal RNA (637 nucleotides) under uncultured bacterium. RNAcentral describes it as "bacterial SSU rRNA". It matches the Rfam family "Bacterial small subunit ribosomal RNA", at positions 607 to 1244 of the family's 1533-position model. The record is from RNAcentral.
GCUUAACCGGAGAAGUGCAUCGGAAACUGGAUAACUUGAGUGCAGAAGAGGGUAGUGGAACUCCAUGUGUAGCGGUGGAAUGCGUAGAUAUAUGGAAGAACACCAGUGGCGAAGGCGGCUACCUGGUCUGCAACUGACGCUGAGACUCGAAAGCAUGGGUAGCGAACAGGAUUAGAUACCCUGGUAGUCCAUGCCGUAAACGAUGAGUGCUAGGUGUUGGAGGGUUUCCGCCCUUCAGUGCCGGAGCUAACGCAUUAAGCACUCCGCCUGGGGAGUACGACCGCAAGGUUGAAACUCAAAGGAAUUGACGGGGGCCCGCACAAGCGGUGGAGCAUGUGGUUUAAUUCGAAGCUACGCGAAGAACCUUACCAGGUCUUGACAUCUUGCACCAACCCUAGAGAUAGGGCGUUUCCUUCGGGAACGCAAUGACAGGUGGUGCAUGGUCGUCGUCAGCUCGUGUCGUGAGAUGUUGGGUUAAGUCCCGCAACGAGCGCAACCCUUGUUACUAGUUGCCAGCAUUAAGUUGGGCACUCUAGUGAGACUGCCGGUGACAAACCGGAGGAAGGUGGGGACGACGUCAGAUCAUCAUGCCCCUUAUGACCUGGGCUACACACGUGCUACAAUGGACGGUACAACG